This 84-nucleotide transfer RNA is filed under the name Trametes sanguinea. Its description in RNAcentral is "tRNA-Ala". It matches the Rfam family "tRNA". From Rfam's summary of the family: Transfer RNA (tRNA) molecules are approximately 80 nucleotides in length. Their secondary structure includes four short double-helical elements and three loops (D, anti-codon, and T loops). The record is from RNAcentral. Lineage: Eukaryota; Fungi; Basidiomycota; Agaricomycetes; Polyporales; Polyporaceae.
GGGCAUUUGGCACAGUGGUAGCGCGCACGCUUCGCAUAUUUCUGGAUUUGCGUGAGGUCCAGGGUUCAAUCCCCUGAAUGUCCA